UACGGAGGGUGCGAGCGUUAAUCGGAAUUACUGGGCGUAAAGCGCACGCAGGCGGUUGUUGUAAGCAAGAUGUGAUACCCCGGGCCUCAACCUGGGAACUGCAUUUUGAACUGGCAGACUAGAGUCUUGGAGAGGGGGGUGGAAUUCCAGGUGUAGCGGUGAAAUGCGUAGAGAUCUGGAGGAACAUCAGUGGCGAAGGCGGCCCCCUGGCCAAAGACUGACGCUCAUGUGCGAAAGUGUGGGUAGCGAACAGGAUUAGACUACCCGGUAGUCC
Molecule: ribosomal RNA, 274 nt
Filed under: uncultured bacterium
Lineage: Bacteria
Description: partial 16S ribosomal RNA
Rfam family: Bacterial small subunit ribosomal RNA
Source: RNAcentral